GUAUCUCUGCGGCAUUCCCGGGACGUAAUCGAGCCGAGGGAACAACUCAAGUACGGGAGCCAGAGAACAGACGUGGUGAGCAUGCCCUGAGGCUUGAAGCCGAGGGGAAGCCCGAUCGUCCGUCGAGGCGCCCAUUUUGAACAAGCCUCCGUUGGCUCGAAAAAUCCCGUGGGUGCUGUGGAGAUUUU
RNAcentral lists this non-coding RNA (188 nucleotides) under Nitrospiraceae bacterium. RNAcentral's name for it is "6S RNA". It matches the Rfam family "6S / SsrS RNA". Rfam says of the family: E. coli 6S RNA was the first non coding RNA to be sequenced, but its function was unknown until recently. The record is from RNAcentral. Lineage: Bacteria; Pseudomonadati; Nitrospirota; Nitrospiria; Nitrospirales; Nitrospiraceae.